This 433-nucleotide ribosomal RNA is filed under the name uncultured bacterium. RNAcentral describes it as "partial 16S ribosomal RNA". It matches the Rfam family "Bacterial small subunit ribosomal RNA", at positions 28 to 507 of the family's 1533-position model. The record is from RNAcentral.
AACGAACGCUGGCGGCAUGCCUAACACAUGCAAGUCGAACGAGACCUUCGGGUCUAGUGGCGCACGGGUGCGUACCGCGUGGGAACCUGCCCGUAGGUUCGGAAUACCUCCCCGAAGGGGGUGCUCAUGCCGGAUAAUGUCUUAGGACCAAGGAUUUAUCGCGUUUGGAUGGGCCCGGGUUGGCUUAGCUGGUUGGUAGGGUACAAGCCUACCAAGGCGACGAUCCAUGGCUGGUCGGAGAGGAGGAUCAGGCACACUUGGACUGCGACCCGGCCUAGCCGCGGACGGGAGGGUGCAGUGUGGAAUAUUGGACGCGGGGGGCAAGCGUGAUCCAGCAGCGUCGCGUGAGUGAGGAAGGGGUUUGGGUUGUAAAGUCCCCUGACCCGGGACGAGAAUGACGGUACCGGGAGAAUAAGCACCGGCUAACUACGUG